Molecule: long non-coding RNA, 1185 nt
Organism: Triticum dicoccoides
Lineage: Eukaryota; Viridiplantae; Streptophyta; Magnoliopsida; Poales; Poaceae
Exons: 3
Source: RefSeq, a predicted model, not a curated record
AAACCCCCAAAGAAGGCGGAUGUGUGUUGUACAAGCUUCCCUGCCUGUAAAUCAGAAUGAAUGAAUGUCAGCAGUUGGGCUGCAUAGAAUGUAUGAAAUACACUCAGGUAAGUAGAACAAAAAUUUCUGUAGUAGCGAUAAAAAUACUGAUGCUUGCAGUUGACUUUUGCGCACCUUUCAAUGUGUUGAAAAAUAUUAUGUUUCUUGAUUUAGUACCACAACAAAAAUAUUACCUUCUCACCAAGAGCAUCUUGAAUCAUGACCGUAUCGCUAGACAUUCUAGAAACUGCUUCGCCUGUUGUCAUUUGUGUAUCGAAGAAUGCAAUGUCUUGCCUCAGAACUGAUUUCAGGUACAAGGAACGGAUGCGGGACGAGUGCCUUUCUCCUGCCAUCGUCCAGCAUGACACCUCUGAAAAUAAAUAAAGGCGAGAGCAAACUUGUGUGUCCUAUCUCGGUCAAGACGAAGACAACGAGGAGGAGGCAGAAACAACAGAACUCACCCGACAGCUAACUACAAACAAACAAAACUAAAACAACAAAGAAGAAUGGAAAAAGGCAGGCCAACCUACACUAGCCAACAGAAAACAAAGAGCAAGAUACGGCCGAGGGGCCACGUGUCCUAGUUCCACUCUAUUCAGUUGUGAAAAUUUUCGACUUGAAGUGGUACGUGAAACUUUGGAAUUUACCAAAGGAACAUGUGAAAUUAAUAUCGAGAUAACUGCUUAUGACUUAUGAGUGUGGUGGCGCUAUUUUGUUGCGCAUCUCUCUUGGUUUCACUGACCACUGCUUGUCAGUUUAAUACACCUUGGAGAUACGGUUGAGUUUGAUACAUUAUAUUGUUACAAGCUUAUCAGCUCUCCUCAUGGAGAAGCUCGUUUCGAUGAUGAUAAUAGGAAACAUGCACUCCAAGAAUAGGAUGGAAAUUCCACUUACGAAGGAAGGAAGCCACUGCUGCCCCAACGCCCAAAUAUAUGAAGUUGAGACAAACCUGGAGAUCGAAAGAACAUUAAUUCUUUGUUAAAUCGUCUUGCCACUCUUCAAGUUAAGUGAGUGGUCACCGUAGGCCGUGGCAGUACUACACCUUGGUGACGGCGCGGAGGACGGUGCUGCUCGUGCUCUGGCCGAAGGAGUUGAUGACGUCUCCAAAGAGCACCGAUAUGAGGGGCUCCGACACGCCGUUGGCCA